CCCUUAGAUGUCCUGGGCUGCACGCGCGUUACACUGAUGCAUUCAACGAGCUUAUAACCUUGGCCGAGAGGCCUGGGCAAUCUUGUUAACGUGCAUCGUGAUAGGGAUAGAUUAUUGAAAUUAUUAAUCUUGAACGAGGAAUUCCUAGUAAACGCAGAUCAUCAAUCUGCAUUGAUUACGUCCCUGCCCUUUGUACACACCGCCCGUCGCACCUACCGAUUGGAUGGUCCGGUGAAGCCUCGGGAUUGUGGUUCUUGCCGCUUUGUUGUGGCGUGACCGCGAGAACUUGUCUAAACCUUAUCAUCUAGAGGAAGGUGAAGUCGUAACA
RNAcentral lists this ribosomal RNA (328 nucleotides) under uncultured eukaryote. RNAcentral's name for it is "partial 18S ribosomal RNA". It matches the Rfam family "Eukaryotic small subunit ribosomal RNA", at positions 1470 to 1796 of the family's 1831-position model. The record is from RNAcentral.